GAUGAACGCUGGCGGCGUGCCUAAUACAUGCAAGUCGAGCGAACAGACGAGGAGCUUGCUCCUUUGACGUUAGCGGCGGACGGGUGAGUAACACGUAGGUAACCUACCUAUAAGACUGGGAUAACUUCGGGAAACCGGAGCUAAUACCGGAUAAUAUUUCGAACCGCAUGGUUCGAUAGUGAAAGAUGGCUUUGCUAUCACUUAUAGAUGGACCUGCGCCGUAUUAGCUAGUUGGUAAGGUAACGGCUUACCAAGGCAACGAUACGUAGCCGACCUGAGAGGGGGAUCGGCCACACUGGAGCUGAGACACGGUCCAGACUCCUACGGGAGGCAGCAGUAGGGAAUCUUCCGCAAUGGGCGAAAGCCUGACGGAGCAACGCCGCGUGAGUGAUGAAGGUCUUCGGAUCGUAAAACGCUGUUAUUAGGGAAGAACAAACGUGUAAGUAACUGUGCACGUCUUGACGGUACCUAUCAGAAAGCCACGGCUAACUACGUG
Molecule: ribosomal RNA, 496 nt
Filed under: uncultured bacterium
Lineage: Bacteria
Description: partial 16S ribosomal RNA
Rfam family: Bacterial small subunit ribosomal RNA
Source: RNAcentral